Molecule: ribosomal RNA, 695 nt
Filed under: uncultured bacterium
Lineage: Bacteria
Description: bacterial SSU rRNA
Rfam family: Bacterial small subunit ribosomal RNA
Source: RNAcentral
AGUCGAGCGGUAACAGGAAUUAGCUUGCUAAUUUGCUGACGAGCGGCGGACGGGUGAGUAACGCGUAGGAAUCUGCCUAGUAGUGGGGGACAACAUGUGGAAACGCAUGCUAAUACCGCAUACGCCCUACGGGGGAAAGGAGGGGAUCUUAGGACCUUUCGCUAUUAGAUGAGCCUGCGUGAGAUUAGCUAGUUGGUGGGGUAAAGGCUCACCAAGGCGACGAUCUCUAGCUGGUCUGAGAGGAUGAUCAGCCACACUGGGACUGAGACACGGCCCAGACUCCUACGGGAGGCAGCAGUGGGGAAUAUUGGACAAUGGGCGCAAGCCUGAUCCAGCCAUGCCGCGUGUGUGAAGAAGGCCUUCGAGUUGUAAAGCACUUUCAGUAGUGAGGAAAGGGGUGUAGUUAAUACCUGCAUCCUGUGACGUUAGCUACAGAAGAAGCACCGGCUAAUUCCGUGCCAGCAGCCGCGGUAAUACGGAAGGUGCGAGCGUUAAUCGGAAUUGCUGGGCGUAAAGCGCGCGUAGGUGGUUCAGUCAGUCAGAUGUGAAAGCCCCGGGCUCAACCUGGGAACUGCACCUGAUACUGCUGGACUUGAGUACGGUAGAGGGUAGUGGUAUUUCCUGUGUAGCGGUGAAAUGCGUAGAUAUAGGAAGGAACACCAGUGGCGAAGGCGACUACCUGGACCGAUACUGAC